CGCGGGACGCGCGGGGAGCGGGAGCACCGGGCAGCUCCCGGAGGGCGCUUUUGUCUCCGUGUCCGCCACUGCAGAGGCGGCAGCGCUCCAUCCCCGGGGCCGAGCACAGCCCCGGCCGCCUUCCGUGCCUGGCGUUUUUUAUUUAUUUAUUUUUUUUAAUCCUUUUUUUUCCCUGUAUGCUCAAAGACAUUUUUUUAUCACUACUGUUAUUUCCUCCACGUUUAAGUGUCGGCAAUAAUCAAGAUGGAUAAGAAAUCAUUUGAAACCGUGCUGGAUGAAAUUAGGAAGGCUGUAUUGACUGAGUACAAAUUAAAAGCUAUUGAAUAUGUUCAUGGAUACUUUUCCAGUGAACAGGUUGUUGAAUUACUGAGAUACUUCUCCUGGGCAGAACCACAGCUUAAGGCAAUAAAGGCUUUACAACAUAAAAUAGUGGCAGUUCCAGCAUCAAAAAUGGUUAAUAUUCUCAACUGCUUCACCUUCAGUAAAGAUAAACUUAUUGCCCUUGAAAUCUUGGCUUCCAACAUUGUUGAUGCUCAGAAUUAUCGCCUGAUUGAAGAUCUAUUCAGAAUUAAUAUGUCAGAGAAGAAAAGAUGCAGACGAAUUCUCGAACAGGCUUCAAAAACAGGUUGUAAGGCUCCUCAUGCUAUGAUAUCAUCCUGUGGCAUGAUUCCUGGCAAUCCUUAUCCCAAGGGCAAGCCAAGCCGCAUAAAUGGAAUUUUUCCAGGAACCCCUAUCAAAAAGGACACAGAAGAAUGUACUAAUGAAGGAAAAGGAAUAGCAGCCCGUAUACUUGGACCAUCCAAACCCGCUCCAUCAACGUACAAUCCACACAAACCAGUUCCAUACCCCAUCCCACCAUGUCGGCCACAUGCAACUAUUGCACCAAGUGCUUACAACAAUGCUGGCUUAGUUCCAAUGGCCAAUGUCAUAGCUCCAGGCUUACCAGCUCCUCCACCAUACACUGCUAAUCAAGUGGUAUCAGAAAAUGAGGACCUUUCCAGCCAGGCAAAACCUUCCCAAAAUCAAGCUUUUUCUGCACAAGCGAAUCAGCUCUUUACUCCUCAUGGUUCUAAUCCUUCAACACCUGCUGCUACUCCAGUCCCUACCCCAUCACCUGUCAAGGCAAUAAGCCAUCCAUUAGCACCUGCAACUCCACUCAUCUCUGGGAUGAACAUGUCUACCCCUGUCCUUCCUGUUUUUCCAGGACAGGUCUCCUCUUCCAUCCAUACAUCUCAGCCAUCCACCCCAACCCCUACUGUCAUCAAAUCCCUUUCAUUGCCUGGUGUUCCUGUCACAUCUGUUCACAGUGCAACCUCUACCCCUAUCCCCUCAGUUUUUUCUGGGCUGGCUUCUAUCCCUGCUGCUAUGCCCACUCCGCAGGGUUCUUCCACUCCAUGUGCCACACCUGCACCCAGUGAAGCUUUUGCAUCUGCUGCUACACCAUUUGCUGGCCUCCCUUUCUCUGCAGCCUCUUCAGUUGCUUCUGCUAAUAAUCCUGCUCCAUUGUCAUCAGUCUUUGCUGGCCUCCCUUUGUCCUUGCCGCCCAAUGCCCAAGGGAUUUCUAGUCCUGUUCCAUCUACAAUUGCUAAUUCUCCUGCCACCACCAUUCCUGGCUCGCUUAGCUUGCCUAACCCAAUUUUGUCUGUCUUAAAGGGAUUUCUGACAUCGAAUGACACUUCAUUAAUCAAUUCAUCUGCUUUACCUUCUGCUGUGACAAGUGAGCUUGCUUCUUUAUCUGCUCUUGCUAAUCAAAGCUCUGAUCCUCCCACUUCCUCUGUCAACAAAUGUUACACUCCAUCAGCCACCCCCAACACACAGCGUUCCUCCACACCUGGGCUGGCUAUUUUUCCAGGUCUUCCAUCCCCAUCUGUAGCCAAUUCUAGUUCCACUCCUCCCACAUUGCCUGCACAGUCACCUUUAACCACUUCACCAUCGAUUAUGCCAGUCAACUGUGGUUCAUCAGCCUCCCUCUUGCAUGGCACAAGUCCUACUAAUCCCGACCAGCAGCUCUCAUCAGCCCCAGCUGCCACAAGUAUCCCAGUUCUGGUCAAAACAGAACCCAUGAGUCCUACCCUGUCGGCCUUCAAAGGUCCUUCUCAUUCAGCCAGCCCUUCUCAUGGCACCCUAGGACUCUCAGGGCUCGGGCGUGCGUACACCUCAGCAGCUUCAGUGCCCGUCAGCUUGCCCAGUUCCCUGAAUCCAGCGCUGUCAGGGCUCUCCUCUUUGAGUGCUCCUCUGAACAACUCCAGUUCUCUGGCUUCCAUUUCCCUCGCCCCACACGGCUCCUCUGCUCCCAUUGCCCCCGUGUUCAAUGGACUUCCUCCUUUCACGUCUCUAACCAGUAACUUUGCCUUUACUGGUAACCCAGCACUGACCCCGCCCGUCACCCUCCCGGGGUCUCUGCUGGCCACCCCGGCUACGAGCGCUGCAGCCGUGCCCGCCCCCCACGCGAGUUCCACCGCCGCCGUGCUCUCAGGACUCGCCGCCUCCGCAGCAGUCUCCGCUCCACCCUUCUCGCUUAACUUGUCCAGUGCUGUCCCUUCCCUUUUUUCUGUUGCCCAGGGACCUCUGGGAUCAUCAAACCCAUCCUUCCCUGGUUUUCCUGUCUCUAACACACCCUCUGUCACUCCUGCUCUCCCUUCUUUCCCUGGCCUCCAGGCAUCUUCUGCAGUAGCAGCAGUUGCACCGUUGCCGGCAGCUGCCACAGCCCCAUCUCCAGCUCCAGUCCUGCCAGGGUUUGCCUCGGCCUUUAGCUCAAACUUCAACUCUGCACUUGUGGCACAGGCUGGCUUGACUUCUGGACUACAGACUCCAGGAAAUGCAGUUUUUCCUGGUCUUUUAUCUCUCCCCGGUAUCCCUGGCUUUCCCCAAAGUGCCGCACAAUCUUCCUUACAGGAAUUGCAGCAUAGUGCAGCUGCACAGUCAGCACUACUACAGGCGCAUUCUGCUUCUGCUCUGGACAACUAUACAGCUCAGCCUGAAGGUUUUGCUAACUAUCCAUCAACACCAGGAACACCAUUUUCAUUGCAGACAAGUCUGCCCCAGAGUGGAUGGCAGUAAAUACCAGGCAUUUCUAAAGACUGCAGUGUUUGCUUGACAGAGCCUGAUCCUAUUCACUUUGAAGGCUGCCUCUGCGAUAGUGGGAGCAUGGUCUGAGCUGGGGAAAGAAAGGGAAAACAGGAGGGUAAAAUGUUUCCAGGAGGCUGUGUCAGAUGUCAAACUUAAUUUGUGAAUUGCAUUCAAUUUGAUUCAGGGUCUGAUCCUGUGAAUUUCUGAGCAUCCUUGACGCUCCUUUAAUUUUAAGAGUUCAGUGUUUGGUUUCUUACAGGAUCAGGAACAUUCAAAUAGGUGUUUGUGUAAAUAGGGCAAUUGACUGUCAAGCUGAGUAGGGAGACCAAGUAUACUUAAUAGUGUGAAUAAGCACCUAUCCUGUUAUGUUUUGUAUGGUAUAUGUGGUUAAUAGAGACUGAGAUCUAGAUUGAAACUAGACAAUUAAAGCUGUAGAUGACCUUUUGUCUAGUAGCACACUUCCUGUGUGUGUACAAAUCAAGGUCAGUUUAUGGUCUUUUCAGAUGUUUUCUUCCUAUGUAUGAGGAUCUCCUGUUAGCAUCAGCAGUAUGUUAAGGGGAGGGUAGGUCAGAGGUAUGUGGGGGUUUUUCUUGUGCUUCAAAAUACUGUCAUGGGCUUGCUGCUGAAUUGAGUACUCCUUUGUCUGAACAAGAAAGAUAGGAAAUGAUGCUGUACUGUAUUUGGUAGAAGUGGAUUAUGUUUUACUGGAGUAUGGUUUAGCUAGCUGACAAUAUGUCUUUCCAAAGUAUAUAAAACCAUUUUAACUUGCCUCUAAAAUAAGGUUCCAUAAUAUUCUCCUUGCCUCCAGUACCCCUCUGAAUGAAUUAAAUAAUUGUACUGCGGAUAGGCUGCCUAUCUGGCACUUUUGACUGCAGACUUAUGUGAAUGUUUACAGACAUGGGGCAAGUUCCUCUCCCUUAUACUCACAAACAAACUGAUUCUCUAUAUGCUUUUCAGCUAUAAACUGCAACUUCAUGGUGCUUAUCUUAUCCUGUGAAUAUAAGUGGGAGAAGAAUUUGGACCAUGGAUUUUUUUAGUAUUUUUCCUUGGAAAACAUACAUGAUUUUAAAGGCAUAUAGCUAAAUUAACUGUUACAAUGCAGCAUAUAGAAAAGUCUUGCUUUGUUAGUGAAAUUGAGUUGUGCACUCUUCUAAUAAUGUUAGUAUCUGUGGCAAUGUGUAACACAUCAUUGAAUAUCUUCUAUUUAAGGUAUGCUCUUGAUCAUGGUCUGGAGACAAUAGAGAUGAAUGAUAUUCAAUCAUGUGACUAAAUUAAAAUGUAGAGAUACUACACUGUAGAAAUGUUCUGCACCUAGAGUUUUACUUUUUUAAAGAUUGAUGAUGCUGGGAGAUGUUGCUAAUGUAUUUUCUUUCAAGAUGUGAACAAACUUUUUUAGAACAUUAAUGGAAAUUGUUGUAUUGGUUUUUAACAUAAUUUUUUAAAAUAAAAAGUUUACAGUCAUGGCAAAAAGGCUUUGAUGACUAUUUGAAUAUUUACCUAAAAUAUGAAUGAAUAAACUUGUUUUUAUUAAGAUACUUCUACUGAUCUUGAUCUUGCUUUAUGACAUUUCUUUUUGAUGCAGAAUUCUGUCCAAAAUUAUAAAAUUUACCUCCUAAGGAGUGUCAUUAGAAAUAUCCUAUUUAAUUUGUAGGUUAAAAACUUAAAUUUUUUGACAUUUUAAUAAUCAAACUUACAUAUUACAUUAAAUCUAAAAAAAAAUAGUGUUCUUACAUUUUUUUAUUUUGUGAAACUUGUUAAAUUCUCAUGAUUCUCCACUCUGAAUUGCUCUUAAAAUUGAUAUCUUGGAUAUUGAUAUCUUGGCUUAAGAAAUCUGUGGAAGAGGUCUCUACCAUCUUUCACUUUAUUCUGCUUGUCAUUCUUUCCAUAACUUGUUCUUUUUAGAGUUGCAGAUGAGUUGGAGAAAAUAAAGAUACAGGUAUCUUAUCAACAGCAAAUUGCUCAGUAAUGUUACUGAGGUGCUGAGUCUGACAUCCUAUUUUAAUCCUAGUUUCCCCAUCAAGCAAUCAAAGUUUGAACUGAUUCACGCCACCUUGUAGUCAAAAGCAAAUAAUACUGUUUUGUCAGAAUGUAAGCACUUUGUGCCUCUGUUUGUAAAAAUAUUUGUUGAAUGGUCAUGGGGUAUGGGGUUCCUGUCUGAGCACUGGACAACUCAGAGAUGCUGAAGAGACUGAAGCCUUGUUUCUCCAAAUGAAAACAGGAAUAGAGUCUGUGUUCUGCAUUGCAGCAAAGUGUUGUGACCCAACCUUGGAAUUUCUGAGAGGAGUGAUUUGUCCUGCGUUCCUUCAUGCUUACUUGAGCACCGGUUUUAGACAGCCAAGGAAAUGUCUGCUCUGAGGCAAACCACCUUAAACUGAGCCUGUGCCAGGAAAGGGCUCUUCCUACAUGACUUUAAUUCUGGACUAACUGAUUUUUUUCACUGUUCAAGUUGUCUAUUAUUGCUCUAUUUUGUGUGUACUGAUGGCCUGCAUAGAUACGGUGUGGUGAAUGUUCCUUGAAAUAAAACCUUUUUUGCAACAACCAAGAA
Molecule: RNA transcript, 5614 nt
Organism: Melospiza melodia melodia
Lineage: Eukaryota; Metazoa; Chordata; Aves; Passeriformes; Passerellidae
Gene: PROSER1
Gene name: proline and serine rich 1
Exons: 14
Source: RefSeq, a predicted model, not a curated record